GAUGAACGCUAGCUACAGGCUUAACACAUGCAAGUCGAGGGGUAACGAGAGGGAAGCUUGCUUUCCUUGUCGACGACCGGCGGAUGGGUGAGUAACGCGUAUCCAACCUGCCCUUCAGUAAGGGAUAGCCUUUCGAAAGAAAGAAUAAUACCUUAUGUGAUCGUUUGAUGACAUCAGACGACGAUCAAAGAUUUAUCGCUGAAGGACGGCGACGCGUCCCAUUAGGCAGUAGGCGGGGUAACGGCCCACCUAACCUACGAUGGGUAGGGGUUCUGAGAGGAAGGUCCCCCACAUUGGAACUGAGACACGGUCCAAACUCCUACGGGAGGCAGCAGUGAGGAAUAUUGGUCAAUGGCCGUAAGGCUGAACCAGCCAAGUAGCGUGCAGGAUGACGGCCCUAUGGGUUGUAAACUGCUUUUAAACGGGGAUAAAGUGAGCCACGUGUGGUUUAUUGCAGGUACCGUUUGAAUAAGGACCGGCUAAUUCCGCGCCAGCCGCCGCAGUAA
Molecule: ribosomal RNA, 506 nt
Filed under: uncultured bacterium
Lineage: Bacteria
Description: partial 16S ribosomal RNA
Rfam family: Bacterial small subunit ribosomal RNA
Source: RNAcentral